Molecule: long non-coding RNA, 1844 nt
Filed under: Capsicum annuum
Lineage: Eukaryota; Viridiplantae; Streptophyta; Magnoliopsida; Solanales; Solanaceae
Description: long non-coding RNA (CANN_LNC005157)
Source: RNAcentral
CCAAUUCAUCCGCCUCCCCACCCUCUCUCUCUAUCUAUCUGUUUUCCCCUCUCUCUAGAAUAAAACCGUUGCCCUUCCAUUGUUUUCCCACUCCGAUGGACGGCUGUUGCCGCCGCCCCACCACUUUUCUUCCUCCUCUCUUCCCUCCAUCUCCCAGCCACCGGCGAUUAGUGCUGCCACCAUCACACCGCUGUCAUCGCCCUUCACUUUCAUCACCGCCUCCGUGUCACCAACCGCCAUGCAAUGCCGCCGGACGCCGACCAACUCACCUCUUUCUCCAUGUUGUCACUCGUAUCCUUUCCUAGCGCCACCAACAAUGACAACAAUAUCACCAGCCGAGGACACCGGUCAACAACUAAGGAAACCCGUCGCCCCCCGUUCUCCGCAUCUCUACCACCGAUCAGCCCCAAAACCCUUCUUCCGUCGCCACUUCACGACCAUGCAGUCACAAUUUUAUACUAUUUUGUCUCACUAUUGAUCAUGAUCGGUGAGGUAUCGAUUGGCAAACCCUCUGACUAUAUUUGAUCGAUAGACACCAUCACACGUUCUGUCCAUUUUAAUUUCAUAUUAGUCUUUGUUAAAUCUUACACUCCGUGGUCUGAAAUCAACUAACUCGGCUGAUGUUAUUGAUUUUUGUAAUUCGGGUUUAUUAGAUCUCACAUGCAUGAAGUUGGUGAUACUUAACUAGGUUACUGGUUGUUUUUCUAUCUCUUGAAAUCACUAUAUUCUAUUUGAUUCAUUUGACAUUAAUAAACUGCACACCUAGUUUUUGCGGCAAAUGAUUAACCUUGUUUUUAUUACUCUGGACCAAAGAUUAUGGAACUGAUGGCACAUGUAAUUUGGAUGACUUGAUGAUUUGAAUUGAUUGGAUGCAUAAUCAACGUUAGUGAUUAAGGAACAUGCUUAUAUGAUUAGUUGUCUUUCUAUUUUUAUUUUAUUUUAUUUUAUUCUUUUACGGUAAUAAGCAGUCCUUUCUAACAACAUCAACAUUUUUCAUAUGCCUAUUUGUGGUAAGCACAUAAUUGGUGUGCCCGAUUGAAAUAUAAUUGAUUUACUUAAUGGAUGUUUUCCUUUUAUUUGCUUUGAGUAAAUUUGUUAUUAUAUAAGUGUGAUUUUAUAUUUAUGGAAAACUCCAUUGAUUGGCUUCAUCAAAUAUUCUCCUCUUCCUUAAUUAAUUCUGAUUGAUUUUUUGAAUAUCUUUAUCCUUUUCUGUUGCUACUAAUUAACACUCAUGUAUUUUCUUUCCUUUCAUUCCCCAGUACCCCUCUGCUAUAUAAACAAUCCUUCUUUUCAAAUUAAGAGACAGUUCUUGAAAAAUAAAACACUCCCUAUAAGAAAAUCACUAGCUAUUUUGAUUACAUAUUCUUAAAAGUCCUUUGAUUUUCUUGAAGGCUUACUGGAAUCUAAGCAUAUUAUUCUUACAAGUGCUUGUCUUCAUUAUUUUUAUUAUUUCUUUUAUUACUGCUUAUCGGUAAGUAUCUAAACGAUGUGGUUUAAUUACUUAUUUGUUCAUGGAAUGUUGUUAACGUGUUAGAAAGCACGUUCAUAGGGACUCCGCUUUGUUGUGUUUGUCAUGUCAUUGUUUGGUCACUAUGUGUAUGGAAUCAUGCUAUGAUAUCUUAGUUGUCUCCCCUUUGCCGUGUUGUUUCUCUACAGGUCGGGAUUAUUUGAAGAGUCGUCGGGUGUUAAACAUAAUAUGUUAUUUCUUAUAGCUGCUGUUUUCCUUUCUUAUUUUUUUUAUCAUUUGAUUUGUAACAUUAUUGUAAAGACGUUAUAUUGAUGUAAUAAUAAAUUUUGGGGACUGCUUCGGGAGGCAGAGGUUUACAUGCUCUAUGAAUAGUGUA